GCUGAUGUAGCUCAGGGGUAGAGCACUUCCUUGGUAAGGAAGAGGUCUCGGGUUCAAAUCCCGAUAUCAGCU
This 72-nucleotide transfer RNA is filed under the name Butyricimonas virosa. RNAcentral's name for it is "tRNA-Thr". It matches the Rfam family "tRNA". Rfam says of the family: Transfer RNA (tRNA) molecules are approximately 80 nucleotides in length. Their secondary structure includes four short double-helical elements and three loops (D, anti-codon, and T loops). The record is from RNAcentral. Lineage: Bacteria; Pseudomonadati; Bacteroidota; Bacteroidia; Bacteroidales; Odoribacteraceae. RNAcentral also lists the same sequence under 4 other names.